UUCCCAAACCGUGUAUACAUACCUUUGUUGCUUUGGCAGGCCGCCUUUUAGGCGUCGGCUUCGGUUGACUGCGCCUGCCAGAGGACCCAAACUCGUUUGUUUAGUGAUGUCUGAGUACUAUAUAAUAGUUAAAACUUUCAACAACGGAUCUCUUGGUUCUGGCAUCGAUGAAGAACGCAGCGAAAUGCGAUAAGUAAUGUGAAUUGCAGAAUUCAGUGAAUCAUCGAAUCUUUGAACGCACAUUGCGCCCCUUGGUAUUCCGAGGGGCAUGCCUGUUCGAGCGUCAUUAUAACCACUCAAGCCUCGGCUUGGUCUUGGGGUUCCGCGGUCUCGCGGCCCUUAAAAUCAGUGGCGGUGCCAUCUGGCUCUAAGCGUAGUAAUUUCUCUCGCUAUAGGGUCCCGGUGGUCUCCUGCCAGAACCCCCCAUUUUUUACGGUUGACCUCGGAUCAGGUAGG
RNAcentral lists this ribosomal RNA (456 nucleotides) under Hyaloscypha sp. IP-2014. Its description in RNAcentral is "eukaryotic LSU rRNA". The stretch from base 133 to 286 matches the Rfam family "5.8S ribosomal RNA". The record is from RNAcentral. Lineage: Eukaryota; Fungi; Ascomycota; Leotiomycetes; Helotiales; Hyaloscyphaceae.